This is a non-coding RNA of Misgurnus anguillicaudatus (oriental weatherfish), 230 nucleotides long. NCBI's taxonomy places the organism in Eukaryota, Metazoa, Chordata, Actinopteri, Cypriniformes, Cobitidae. The record is from RefSeq and is a predicted model, not a curated record.
CAGCGAUCAUUAUGCUUCAGGAAGCCAGAAAAGAAAGAAGAGAAUUUAAGAGGAGGACAAGAAAGAACAAGAGAGUGGUGCUUUGCUUAAAUUUCUCAGCCCAUAGGCUCUUCCUAAGGAUACCUCCAUUGAUGAAGCUUCACUAUCAACUUCAUCCUCAACAUCAACAGAUGCAUCACUUUUCAGUGUUGAUGUUUCCACUAUAGCACAAGGUAACAUAAGCUCUAUAA